AUGGACUCGUGCUGUGCCUCAGCUGCUCUGAGAGCAUGGAUCAGCAGCUAUUGCCAAACACUUUCUUGGCUGCUAAUAGCACUUUUCCCCCUUCUUUGUGUGGCUGAUAGCAGCUAUUUAAAACGGCAACAGCGAAUCAGACGAGUCUUCCUUACUGCAAGAUCCCUUCUUCUGUUCAAAUCAUCUUCAAGAUCGAAUACAAUUGGUCCGCUGUCUGCUGCAAAGGUUAUGACUGUGGGCGCAAAUUAUUUUCUCGAAAACCAGAACACGGGCCAAUGGUCAGGGGAGGUCACUGCCUCUCUCUGUGUGCCAGUAACAGACACAGACGGUUAACAACCGGGCACAGCAUCAAAGAGCCAAGGUACUUUUGCCGACUCAUUCUGCAGUAGAAUGAGAGGAAACACCGAAACACCCUUUCGACACAACCUCUGAAAAGGGCUACACAGCUCCACUGCCAGCACUCGAUUGGAAGGUAGUGCCUUCCCUCUUCCACCCAUCCCACCUGCAUCUGACGCCCAGAUUAUCAUAAAAGUAGGCUACUGUCAGCACGCCCGUGAUUUACUGACAGCCUGAGCCAAUCAAUCUCAAAGUUCCGAUUAAAAGUACAAAAAUCAAGUUCUCUGUCUCUCCUUUUUAUUUUGAAUGUAAGCGAAAAUAAAGGGAAGCCUUUACAUUUCAUAGCUUCCAGAAUACUCUGGCAAGUAUUCAGUGUGCUCUACUUUUGUCUUUCAACCUCGCCGCGGGAGGCAGCGCUCAUCCGCAGGAGGCAGCGCUCAUCCGCAGGAGGCAGCGCUCAUGACAUCUUUAUAUACGACGUUCUCGUUUCAAAAUGCCAUCGAACAUUCGGAUGAGUGCUGCACUGUGAUCUCGGAAAACAAAAAAAUACUGACAUCAGAUUUUUCUUAUUGAAACGUGCUCUGCUGAAGAGCACGUCUGAGUGAACCAAAGGGCAUACCGUCUCGCAUUAGAAAUCCUACUUUACAUUUCCCUCCCAAAAAAGGCAUAAUUAUACUUGGACGUAUAUAAAUAUGUACCUGUUUUUAUAGGUAAGUUCAGCAGUGUCAUAAAAAAACAAGGCAUAGCACUUAAUCACCAGGACAAAUACACAUUAACUUCUGAAUUAAUUUACCCCAAAAAUCUCAAUUUGAAUAUGGUAAACCAUUCUCAUUACCCAAACAGAUGCAUUCAAAUUCAGUCUGUAGGAGACAAAAGGGCAGUGAGAAGGGGACUCUUAGUCACUUUUAGCCAUUUUUCAUUUCCCACUGACUAAAAAUCUAUCUUUGAAUUCAUUAAAGGUGAAAAGCUUCCUCCGAUAACACCCUGUCUUCUCUCUUUGAUAAUACAGUGUCAUCACUGCAAAACCCUGUCAGCCUCACAGUGAUGUGUCAGUCAUGCAUUCAAUAAUAAUGGUUGGAUCAUUUUUAAUGUUUAGAGGAGGAGAUCACAAAGUCAUUAACUAUUUUCUGACUCCCUCAGCAGUUAGUGGCGAUGUCGCAGCGUUGUCGGGGUGAGCCGUAAUGUAUAGUGCUGCAAACAAGAAGGAUUGCAGGAUCCCUGCCUCCCAGCCCGUGGGAGCCCGCGGUGACGCCGGAGCUCAGGUAUAUGGAUGGCCUGAGGAGGUCUCCAUCAUUCAUAAAACAUGCCUCCGUACGCGGCCGAAUUGAUCUUGCAAAAGAAGCAGGGUGGCACAGCUACCACUUCAUUAGUCUUCUCAUGCCACAAAUCACCCUGCACUAGUCUCCAAGGGACUGCAGCCACCCCCGCCAACCUCACCUCAGCUCUCCUCUCCUUAAAAGCCCGGGGAAAAGGGUGCCGGUUAGAUAACAACACCAUGGUAGCAGUGUUAUAACAGCUUGUUAGCAUUGUGUUAAUUUUAGCUCAACAUCAGAGUGAUGGCACAGCGCAGGCAUGGUGAAGGUCUAGCACUGAAUUAGGAAUGAGCUCAGAUCAAGAAGGAGGCGACAUCAGAGCAGCCAGAACAAAACAAAGUAGAAAACGCUGAAAAGCACACAAAUCUUGUCAAUGCUAAUUGAUAGCUAGUGGUCAUUUUGAGAUUCCCAGAUUAAAUCAAGUCCCUUCUCCAUAUAACAAUGUGAAAUAUUGAUGACAUUUACUUUCCAUGGUUCUGAAAUGAAUUGCCCCAUUCCUCUACUAUUUCUGAUGAAUGUUUUUUAUUGCCUUUUUUGUUGUUGCUGUAGCUGCUUGAGAGAAUUGAGCGUCGUCUUUUCUGCAAAUGUUUCCAACUCACCAGAGAAACCCUGGAGGACACAACCAUCAUUGGCCAUAAUAUUAGUUCCUCUUUGCUUCCCUCUGAAUUUGCUCGCUAAGAUGCAAUUUUAC
This 2340-nucleotide long non-coding RNA is filed under the name Oncorhynchus kisutch (coho salmon). RNAcentral describes it as "lncRNA (ENSOKIG00005005654.1)". Lineage: Eukaryota; Metazoa; Chordata; Actinopteri; Salmoniformes; Salmonidae. The record is from RNAcentral.